This is a long non-coding RNA of Salvia miltiorrhiza (redroot sage), 748 nucleotides long. RefSeq lists it as uncharacterized. The record is from RefSeq and is a predicted model, not a curated record. The transcript is spliced from 2 exons. NCBI's taxonomy places the organism in Eukaryota, Viridiplantae, Streptophyta, Magnoliopsida, Lamiales, Lamiaceae.
UCUCUCACAUUUCUUCUCCACCGCCUCCCUCGGUCGGACGACGAGAAGCCGCAGCCAUUAGGCACGCCGCCAACCACCUUCUGCUCUCACUAGCAUCGUCCUCCUCUUCUCUCUCCCGAUUCCACGAAACCGCUAAAUCCCCAAUUUCUAAAAAAAAUCCCUAGCUUUUGCCUACCUCUCACCCCUCGUCCCCUUCAUGCGACGAAGUCGCCGCCACUAGCCACCGUUAGUGACAACAACAGCCGCGCCAACACCUUCUCCAUUCUCUCAUGCUUGGACCGACUGCUACAAGAGGUUGUCGUCGAUCUCUCUCUCUCUCUCUCUCUACUCUGGCUAACGGCCAGUAGAGAAACCGUCGUCGUUGGGCCUGUCUCCUCCACCCUAACCAUCCGUUGUUUCCUACAUCUCCCUACCAACUGACAAGCAGCAACGACCAACAGGCCACAACCGCCGCCGACUACUUUGCCCUGCUCCAGCCCCUUCUCUUCUCGACUCACCACUCCGAUGAUAGUCCACCUCCCCCAAUAUUCAAGCAACACAAGUUUGAUGUGUAGAUCUUGUCUUCAAGAACUGGAGGUGUAACUGGAGAUUUUGGGAUGUUUGGAUAAUUAUUGUUUCUCAAAUUUUGUUUCUGGAAGUGUAGAUCUUUGGGAUCUUUUUGUUUCUCGAUUUUUGUUGUGUAGAUCUUUGGGAUGUUUCUCAAUUGUUGGUGAUGAACAAAUUCUUAAACACACUUCGAAUUCCCUAA